Molecule: ribosomal RNA, 362 nt
Filed under: Xenorhabdus doucetiae
Lineage: Bacteria; Pseudomonadati; Pseudomonadota; Gammaproteobacteria; Enterobacterales; Morganellaceae
Description: partial 23S ribosomal RNA
Rfam family: Bacterial large subunit ribosomal RNA
Source: RNAcentral
CCAGUACCGUGAGGGAAAGGUGAAAAGCACCCCGGAAGGGGAGUGAAAGAGAUCCUGAAACCGUGUGCCUACAAAUAGUCAGAGCCCGUUAACGGGUGAUGGCGUGCCUUUUGUAGAAUGAACCGGCGAGUUACGAUCCCGUGCGAGGUUAAGCUGAAGAGGCGGAGCCGCAGCGAAAGCGAGUCUGAAUAGGGCGUUUAGUACGUGGUCGUAGACCCGAAACCAGGUGAUCUACCCAUGUCCAGGGUGAAGUUCAGGUAACACUGAAUGGAGGCCCGAACCCACGCACGUUGAAAAGUGCGGGGAUGAGGUGUGGGUAGCGGAGAAAUUCCAAUCGAACCUGGAGAUAGCUGGUUCUCCCC